RNAcentral lists this transfer-messenger RNA (359 nucleotides) under Mycobacteroides abscessus. RNAcentral describes it as "Mycobacterium abscessus Standard tmRNA". It matches the Rfam family "transfer-messenger RNA". From Rfam's summary of the family: Bacterial tmRNA, also known as 10Sa RNA or SsrA, is named for its dual tRNA and mRNA-like properties. Its role is to liberate the mRNA from a stalled ribosome. The record is from RNAcentral. Lineage: Bacteria; Bacillati; Actinomycetota; Actinomycetes; Mycobacteriales; Mycobacteriaceae. RNAcentral also lists the same sequence under 1 other name.
GGGGACGUUACGGAUUCGACAGGGGUAGUUCGAGCUUAGGUUGCGAGUCGAGGGGAUCGGCCUCGUUAAAACGUCAAAGCCUAUAACUGGCAAAACAAACAACAACUUAGCUUUCGCUGCUUAAUAGCGCGUAGCUGUUCCUCCCUCCAUCGUCCAUGUGGUAGGGUAAGGGACUCACUCUAAGUGGACUACGCCGGAUCCCACCGUCUGAGGGUGAAGGAAGAGAACAACCAGACUAGCUGACCGGGCGCCUGUCGAUAGGCAGAUGGCUCAGCGAAAUACGAAUAUGUCGACUACACUCGUAGACGCUUAAGUGGCGAUAUCUUUGGACGAGGGUUCGACUCCCUCCGUCUCCACCA